RNAcentral lists this ribosomal RNA (144 nucleotides) under Ledella ultima. Its description in RNAcentral is "partial small subunit ribosomal RNA". Lineage: Eukaryota; Metazoa; Mollusca; Bivalvia; Nuculanida sp.; Nuculanidae. The record is from RNAcentral.
UUUAAUUAUCAUAUAUAAAAGUGAAAAUAUAAAAUAUAAAUUAAUUUUAGUUGGGGCAACUGGGAGGGAUAAAAAUCUUUUAUUAAAUCAUUGAUAGUAAUAUUUAUAUUUAUGAUCCAAAUUAGUUAAUUUUGAACUUAGAAU